Solanum dulcamara is the source of this 771-nucleotide long non-coding RNA. RefSeq lists it as uncharacterized. NCBI's taxonomy places the organism in Eukaryota, Viridiplantae, Streptophyta, Magnoliopsida, Solanales, Solanaceae. The transcript has 2 exons. The record is from RefSeq and is a predicted model, not a curated record.
GUCUUUAGCUAUUUAUUCUCUUCCAAUGUAAAAAGAAACCCAUUAUCAAUGUCCCUUCUUUCUCUUUUCUAAUUUUAAGCCCUAAAUCCCCAAAUUUCUGCCAUUGUCAAUCUCACAUCUUCAUCUUUUCUUUGCUUUUUCUGUUGAAUUCUUCACCAGCCGUCUUCUCCAUCCAUCUUUUCUAAUAAUUUGACGCCAUGUCCCAAAAUUCAAUGAAUAUCAAGGAAGUCGAUAUAUGUAAUUACGGUGAUUAUUAUCGUCUGAAACUUCGAGGACUCCAUUGAAUCCAAGGCGUAGAUUUUUUGGAUGCAAAGCUUCAAAAGUUGGAAAAUGAUGGAUGUGGCUAUUUUAGAUGGAUUGAUCCGUCGCCUGAAAGUGCUGAGUGUCGUGCUCAAUGAAUAAAUUCAAAAAUAGUGAAAAUUCGAUUGAUCGACUAAAGAAAAAAUUGAAAGAGCUUGAAGAAGAAAGGGAUUCUUUGAAAUUGAAACUGAAUGAUUAUGAAGAGAAGAUGAUGGUAGUUAAUCAGAAACUCAAGAAAGUUAAACUACAAAGAAAUCGGGCAAAUGCCUAAUUCAACAGACUUGUGCUUGUUCUUAUUUGUCCUCUAACUAUAAAAUGGUUCUUUAAUAUAGUGUAAUCUUGUAGUAGUUUAAAGUGUAUGACCAGUGUAGGUGUAUGUUGAAUUAGCUGGUUAUGUUUUGUAUGAAAUUGAAAUCUUGAAUGUGAAUUGAUUGGCCUUGUUUUGUAUCAAACUGAAAGGUUGAAUAUGAA